This 1182-nucleotide long non-coding RNA is filed under the name Citrus x clementina. RNAcentral describes it as "Citrus clementina (C. clementina) long non-coding RNA (CCLE_LNC003432)". The record is from RNAcentral. Lineage: Eukaryota; Viridiplantae; Streptophyta; Magnoliopsida; Sapindales; Rutaceae.
UUAAAAGAGGAUUUUAAUAUCCGUUAUUAAAAAUUUAAAAAUUUUUAUAACCAUUUUCCUAAACUUAAAAAGUGUAGGUGUCUUUUUCUUGUCCUAAAAAGAAUGAUAUGUAAAACUAAAUUUUCUAUUAUUCAAUUUCGAUUUUAUAUUUGUCUAGAAAGUAUGACAUGAAGUAACAGUGAGCUGGAGCACAAGUGUUGAGCUCGUGAACACAAGGUACAAAGUACAGAUCUUUCUGCUCGAUUUAUAUAGGUACUUGACUCCCCACUGUAAAUCCAUGCAGUUGGGUACAAGAAAAUGUCUGAAAAAUGAUGAUACAUGUACAAAUCUGUGCGUAUGAUUUUUUUUUUUUUUCCUAUAAUCCAUUAUAACGACUUGCGUGGCCAAAAGGUGGUUAAAUGAAACUGUCCUAAGAUACUCAUCAUUAUUUCUGGUAAGUGCAUUUACUUUUUAACCGAUUUUUCCAGGUCACAUGACCUGUCAUCUUAAAUUAUACAAAGAAAUUUAUACAUGUAUCAUUAUAUAAUUGGAUGGUUGAUAAUUUUUUAUAUUAUCUAAGUAAAUUAAUUAUAUUAUCUCAUUAACUAUCGAUAAAUAUUAAAUAUUUGGGAUAAAUUUUAAAUCUAAGAUAAAAGUUAAGUGGAUUCGAGAUAAGAUAAGAAAUACCCUCUUGUUUGAAAUAAUAAUAAUAAGUUGUCUUCUUGUUGUUGUAGUGUCAAGUGUGCGAACGUGUGUCAAUGAUUCGAAGAAGAGCAAUGGAGAAAGAGUUUGUCACCAAACAAAUUAUAAUUCCAACAAAAGGGAUAUGAGAUCAUUCUUCACCAACACCAACUACUUGUAAUCCAACAAGAAACUCAAAAAAAAAUAUAUAUAUAUCAAUUAUCUUUUCCGCGUUUGAACCACAAUGUCAAACAGAUAGAUGAUGAUAGAGAACAAAAAUUAAACAAAUCAAAACCAAACCAAGCACUGAAAAUGACUCCCACUAAGGUAAUAGUACUUAGGGAAAUGAAAUGGAAAAUGAACACACGUUACUUGUAUUGGUUCAUCAUGGGCCGUCUCAUCCAAGCGAUUAAACAAGUUUUCAAGCAAGCAGGCUAAAUUUGAAUAGUGUGGGAUUUAUAGAAGAAAAAAGUAGAUUUAACCUUUAUCCACCCUCUAACCUUUUUGAAAGAAAAUAACAUG